Non-coding RNA from Lolium perenne, 547 nucleotides. The record is from RefSeq and is a predicted model, not a curated record. NCBI's taxonomy places the organism in Eukaryota, Viridiplantae, Streptophyta, Magnoliopsida, Poales, Poaceae.
AUCAAAGCUGCCACCUGGGUAGAGCGGGUCAAUGAUCUCACCAAGUGGGCCGCCAGCAACGCGGUAUCCCUCAACGGCACCCAUGAGUACAACCUGACAGGCCCAUAUAGCUAGGAUGCUUUGUGCAUGGACGAGGCUAGGGUUGCCUAGGUAGUCGAGGCCACCCUCACUGAAGAUCUGGGAGCCGGCCUUGAACCAGACAGCCUCGCCAAACUUGACGCCAUUGCGGGCGAGCAGCUCAGGGAAGACACAACCCAGUGCCCCGAGCAUGGCCCAGCGACUGUGGAUCACCUCCAACUCCCGGUUCUUCGCGAAAGUCUCGGGGUCGGCAGAAAGUCCAGCGGUGUCCCAGCCAUAGUCACCUGGGAACUCACCAGUCAGGUAGCUUGGGGGCUCACCUGAGAGUGGACCAAGGUAGAGCACGCGGUCGGCACCAUACCAUGGGCUACCAGAGGAGACCUGCUUUGCCUUCGCCGCAGUCUUGCGCAUCGUAAUGCGGGCCUCGCCGAAAAGUGUGGAUGAUGGGAGAUUCUUGACUACCUUUCCA